UACAGAGGUGGCAAGCGUUGUUCGGAAUUACUGGGCGUAAAGGGCGCGUAGGCGGCCUUCUAAGUCUUGUGUGAAAUCCCUCGGCUCAACUGAGGAACUGCACGGGAUACUGGAUGGCUUGAGUUCGGGAGAGGGAAGCGGAAUUCCGGGUGUAGCGGUGAAAUGCGUAGAUAUCUGGAGGAACACCGGUGGCGAAGGCGGCAUCCUGGACCGGCAUUGACGCUGAGGCGCGAAAGCUAGGGGAGCAAACGGG
This 253-nucleotide ribosomal RNA is filed under the name uncultured bacterium. RNAcentral describes it as "partial 16S ribosomal RNA". It matches the Rfam family "Bacterial small subunit ribosomal RNA", at positions 524 to 776 of the family's 1533-position model. The record is from RNAcentral.